This 427-nucleotide ribosomal RNA is filed under the name uncultured bacterium. RNAcentral's name for it is "partial 16S ribosomal RNA". It matches the Rfam family "Bacterial small subunit ribosomal RNA", at positions 355 to 774 of the family's 1533-position model. The record is from RNAcentral.
UGAGGAAUAUUGGACAAUGGGCGAAAGCCUGAUCCAGCCAUGCCGCGUGUGUGAAGAAGGUCUUCGGAUUGUAAAGCACUUUAAGUUGGGAGGAAGGGCAUUAACCUAAUACGUUAGUGUUUUGACGUUACCGACAGAAUAAGCACCGGCUAACUCUGUGCCAGCAGCCGCGGUAAUACAGAGGGUGCAAGCGUUAAUCGGAAUUACUGGGCGUAAAGCGCGCGUAGGUGGUUUGUUAAGUUGGAUGUGAAAUCCCCGGGCUCAACCUGGGAACUGCAUUCAAAACUGACUGACUAGAGUAUGGUAGAGGGUGGUGGAAUUUCCUGUGUAGCGGUGAAAUGCGUAGAUAUAGGAAGGAACACCAGUGGCGAAGGCGGCCACCUGGACUAAUACUGACACUGAGGUGCGAAAGCGUGGGGAGCAAACA